Molecule: ribosomal RNA, 253 nt
Filed under: uncultured bacterium
Lineage: Bacteria
Description: partial 16S ribosomal RNA
Rfam family: Bacterial small subunit ribosomal RNA
Source: RNAcentral
CACGUAGGGCGCAAGCGUUGUCCGGAAUUAUUGGGCGUAAAGAGCUCGUAGGCGGUCUGUUACGUCUGCUGUGAAAACCCGGGGCUUAACCCUGGGCUUGCAGUGGAUACGGGCAGACUAGAGGCAGGUAGGGGAGAAUGGAAUUCCCGGUGUAGCGGUGAAAUGCGCAGAUAUCGGGAGGAACACCGGUGGUGAAGGCGGUUCUCUGGGCCUGACCUGACGCUGAGGAGCGAAAGCGUGGGGAGCGAACAGG